Molecule: ribosomal RNA, 492 nt
Filed under: uncultured bacterium
Lineage: Bacteria
Description: partial 16S ribosomal RNA
Rfam family: Bacterial small subunit ribosomal RNA
Source: RNAcentral
AGUGAACGCUGGCGGUAGGCCUAACACAUGCAAGUCGAACGGCAGCACAGUAAGAUCUUGCUCUUACGGGUGGCGAGUGGCGGACGGGUGAGGAAUACAUCGGCAUCUACUUUUUCGUGGGGGAUAACGUAGGGAAACUUACGCUAAUACCGCAUACGACCUACGGGUGAAAGCAGUGGAUCUUCGGACCUUGCGCGAUUGAAUGAGCCGAUGUCGGAUUAGCUAGUUGGCGGGGUAAAGGCCCACCAAGGCGACGAUCCGUAGCUGGUCUGAGAGGAUGAUCAGCCACACUGGAACUGAGACACGGUCCAGACUCCUACGGGAGGCAGCAGUGGGGAAUAUUGGACAAUGGGCGCAAGCCUGAUCCAGCCAUACCGCGUGGGUGAAGAAGGCCUUCGGGUUGUAAAGCCCUUUUGUUGGGAAAGAAAAGCAGCAGGUUAAUACCCCGCUGUUCUGACGGUACCCAAAGAAUAAGCACCGGCUAACUUCGUG